AGAGUUUGAUCAUGGCUCAGAUUGAACGCUGGCGGCAGGCCUAACACAUGCAAGUCGAACGGUAGCACAGAGAGCUUGCUCUCGGGUGACGAGUGGCGGACGGGUGAGUAAUGUCUGGGAAACUGCCUGAUGGAGGGGGAUAACUACUGGAAACGGUAGCUAAUACCGCAUAACGUCGCAAGACCAAAGAGGGGGACCUUCGGGCCUCUUGCCAUCAGAUGUGCCCAGAUGGGAUUAGCUAGUAGGUGGGGUAACGGCUCACCUAGGCGACGAUCCCUAGCUGGUCUGAGAGGAUGACCAGCCACACUGGAACUGAGACACGGUCCAGACUCCUACGGGAGGCAGCAGUGGGGAAUAUUGCACAAUGGGCGCAAGCCUGAUGCAGCCAUGCCGCGUGUAUGAAGAAGGCCUUCGGGUUGUAAAGUACUUUCAGCGGGGAGGAAGGUGUUGUGGUUAAUAACCACAGCAAUUGACGUUACCCGCAGAAGAAGCACCGGCUAACUCCGUGCCAGCAGCCGCGGUAAUACGGAGGGUGCAAGCGUUAAUCGGAAGUACUGGGCGUAAAGCGCACGCAGGCGGUCUGUCAAGUCGGAUGUGAAAUCCCCGGGCUCAACCUGGGAACUGCAUUCGAAACUGGCAGGCUGGAGUCUUGUAGAGGGGGGUAGAAUUCCAGGUGUAGCGGUGAAAUGCGUAGAGAUCUGGAGGAAUACCGGUGGCGAAGGCGGCCCCCCUGGACAAAGACUGAC
RNAcentral lists this ribosomal RNA (746 nucleotides) under uncultured bacterium. RNAcentral describes it as "bacterial SSU rRNA". It matches the Rfam family "Bacterial small subunit ribosomal RNA", at positions 8 to 744 of the family's 1533-position model. The record is from RNAcentral.